Molecule: ribosomal RNA, 253 nt
Filed under: uncultured bacterium
Lineage: Bacteria
Description: partial 16S ribosomal RNA
Rfam family: Bacterial small subunit ribosomal RNA
Source: RNAcentral
UACAGAGGGGGCAAGCGUUGUUCGGAAUUACUGGGCGUAAAGGGCGCGUAGGCGGCCUGCUAAGUCGAACGGGAAAUCCCCGGGCUCAACCCGGGAACUGCGUCCGAUACUGGCAGGCUUGAAUUCGGGAGAGGGAUGCAGAAUUCCAGGUGUAGCGGUGAAAUGCGUAGAUACUGGGAAGAACACCAGUGGCGAAGGCGGCUCACUGGUCCGGUACUGACGCUGAGGUGCGAAAGCGUGGGGAGCAAACAGG